ACACCGCUCCUCCACAUCUCCGGCGAUCUUCAUAUCCGGUGAUCUUCUUCUCCGGUGAUCUUCAUCUCGAAACCCUAACCUUUUUCCCUCAAAUUUCCAGAUCUUAUUUCUCCAAAAAGCACACCUGCAAACACCACCUCUCUCUCUCACCAUAAUUGCCUUCUUCUCCUCCAAAAAGCACACCUGCAAACAAGGAGGUAAUUAUGCGACAUAACAACAACGUUGGGGGGAGGAUUGCAAUUAUUUUGUUAGAGGGGGUCAGAGUGCCAAUUGACCUAAACCUCAGGAGAUCAAGUGGUGGAAGACUUAUAUAUCUUUUGAGAGAUGCAGGUUCAACUCCCACAUUUUGAUCUUUGAGUCAAACGGGUUUUACUAGUAAUUUCACCUUCGUGCCUAUAGGCGGGUGGGUUACCAGGUUUUCUCCGGAAUUGGUGGUGGACUCGGAUUACCCUCGGAGUACUCUGUUUGGUCCAGUGGAUGUCCUAAAAGUGCUCAGGAUUGAUUAUGUUGGCCGUUAAAAAAAAAGUAAUGUAUU
Long non-coding RNA from Helianthus annuus (common sunflower), 535 nucleotides. RefSeq lists it as uncharacterized. NCBI's taxonomy places the organism in Eukaryota, Viridiplantae, Streptophyta, Magnoliopsida, Asterales, Asteraceae. The transcript is spliced from 3 exons. The record is from RefSeq and is a predicted model, not a curated record.